RNAcentral lists this ribosomal RNA (442 nucleotides) under uncultured bacterium. RNAcentral's name for it is "partial 16S ribosomal RNA". It matches the Rfam family "Bacterial small subunit ribosomal RNA", at positions 338 to 795 of the family's 1533-position model. The record is from RNAcentral.
CCUACGGGCGGCAGCAGUGGGGAAUAUUGGGCAAUGGGCGCAAGCCUGACCCAGCAACGCCGCGUGAAGGAAGAAGGCUUUCGGGUUGUAAACUUCUUUUAAGAGGGAAGAGCAGAAGACGGUACCUCUUGAAUAAGCCACGGCUAACUCCGUUCCAGCAGCCGCGGUAAUACGUAGGUGGCAAGCGUUGUCCGGAUUUACUGGGUGUAAAGGGCGUGCAGCCGGGAAGACAAGUCAGAUGUGAAAGCCCGCGGCUCAACCGCGGAACUGCAUUUGAAACUGUUUUUCUUGAGUACCGGAGAGGUCAUCGGAAUUCCUUGUGUAGCGGUGAAAUGCGUAGAUAUAAGGAAGAACACCAGUGGCGAAGGCGGAUGACUGGACGGCAACUGACGGUGAGGCGCGAAAGCGUGGGGAGCAAACAGGAUUAGAUACCCGGGUAGUC